CCCUGCACUAACAUUUGUGUUACAUGAAAAACCGAAUCUGCAAGUUUGAAAAUUCAUCAAAUCUCAACUAAAUAACUUGAACAUUAUAGGGUCUGUGAAUCAGCAGCACUUAUUUCUACCGGUCCCUCUUAAAGGCUUUGGAUGAGUGGGCAAAUAAUUCCUAUUUAUACAGAGAUGUAAACUUUCCCAAAAGAGUCUUGAGGGGAAUGAAGGAAGUCACAUCUCUGACUAAAACUAUCUGCCUUUCUGGAAAAUCAAUGACCCAAAUCGAGAACACAUCCACUACAGACCAGAGGGGAGUUUGAUCUGCACGAUCUCGGGGAUGGAGGCCCCACCAUCUUGUCACUGUGCAGCCUAGAAAACUCAGUUUCUCAUCUGCUGCCACAAAGGAGGGAGAGGUAAGAUGCCGACCCCAUUCCCAUUUCUCCUGCUAUGUCCACCAAAGAACGGAUACGCUCAUUCUUCUGUCCACGUGGCCAAAACCAGUCACGUGGCCUCAGGCUUAGCAGCCAGAGACACUGGAAAUAAGUCCUGAGGGUAUGGAGUGAGGACUGACUAUGUCUCUCUCGGUGUCUCAGAGCAAAAACUGAUGAUGGCCAUGUCUGCUGAUGAUGUUUUGUCUGCAGGAGAUCACAGCUACCACUGUCGUUUUACAUUAACUUUGU
Rattus norvegicus (Norway rat) is the source of this 665-nucleotide non-coding RNA. Lineage: Eukaryota; Metazoa; Chordata; Mammalia; Rodentia; Muridae. The record is from RefSeq and is a predicted model, not a curated record.